CCUACGGGAGGCAGCAGUGGGGAAUCUUGCGCAAUGGGCGAAAGCCUGACGCAGCCAUGCCGCGUGUAUGAUGAAGGUCUUAGGAUUGUAAAAUACUUUCACCGGUGAAGAUAAUGACUGUAGCCGGAGAAGAAGCCCCGGCUAACUUCGUGCCAGCAGCCGCGGUAAUACGAAGGGGGCUAGCGUUGCUCGGAAUUACUGGGCGUAAAGGGAGCGUAGGCGGACAUUUAAGUCAGAGGUGAAAUCCCGGAGCUUAACUUCGGAACUGCCUUUGAUACUGGGUGUCUUGAGUGUGAGAGAGGUAUGUGGAACUCCGAGUGUAGAGGUGAAAUUCGUAGAUAUUCGGAAGAACACCAGUGGCGAAGGCGACAUACUGGCUCAUUACUGACGCUGAGGCUCGAAAGCGUGGGGAGCAAACAGGAUUAGAUACCCUGGUAGUCCACGCCGUAAACGAUGAUUGCUAGUUGUCGGGAAGCUUGCUUCUCGGUGACGCAGCUAACGCAUUAAGCAAUCCGCCUGGGGAGUACGGUCGCAAGAUUAAAACUUAAAGGAAUUGACGG
RNAcentral lists this ribosomal RNA (560 nucleotides) under uncultured bacterium. Its description in RNAcentral is "bacterial SSU rRNA". It matches the Rfam family "Bacterial small subunit ribosomal RNA", at positions 338 to 916 of the family's 1533-position model. The record is from RNAcentral.